CUCUUGUUUGUUGCUGCUUUUUAAUUAUAGCUUGAUGAAUUUAUUCUAAGAUGUAUCAUGUUUUUCAUUAUUAUUGUAGUGUAUGAGGUAAGAUAAAGAAGAAAAAUAUAUCAAGGUUAGACGAGGCUAUCAAUAAUCAAGUGGAUAGUAUCCCAAUUGAGACUCACUUGAUCAAAUACUUAGAGAUUUCUCCACAGAGAUGAUGUCAAGGAGGAUUGCAUGGACAUCUGUAGCUGUAGCGGGUUCUGGUUAUUUCCAAGAAUUCAUAGAACUAGUGGUCUCUGUGCAUUGCAGGAUGAAUUAAUCUUCAUGACGGCUGCCAGUGGUUGCUAAGGAAUUUUGUUGCUUCUUAGACUGUAAACUGUAUAGAUUUUUUUUGCUUUGUUUUUUUUUUCGUUAGAAACCAAGCUUUAUUAAGUCUGUCUAGCAUCAAUUCUUGGUUUUGGUUUGUUACGACUUUUUAUGCUUGCACUUGCCUAUCCAUAGUAUGUAAAACUGCCGUUCCAUAGAAA
This is a long non-coding RNA of Populus euphratica (Euphrates poplar), 512 nucleotides long. RefSeq lists it as uncharacterized. NCBI's taxonomy places the organism in Eukaryota, Viridiplantae, Streptophyta, Magnoliopsida, Malpighiales, Salicaceae. The record is from RefSeq and is a predicted model, not a curated record. The transcript is spliced from 3 exons.